UACGUAGGAGGCGAGCGUUGUCCGGAGUUACUGGGCGUAAAGGGUGCGCAGGCGGCGGCGCGCGUGUGCGGUGAAAUCUCCCGGCUCAACUGGGAGGGGGCCGUGCAGACGGCGUCGCUUGAGGCUCGGCGGGGGGCGUGGAAUUCCGGGUGGAGCGGUGAAAUGCGUAGAGAUCCGGAGGAACACCGACGGCGAAGGCAGCGCCCUGGACGAGACCUGACGCUCAGGCACGAAAGCUGGGGGAG
Molecule: ribosomal RNA, 245 nt
Filed under: uncultured bacterium
Lineage: Bacteria
Description: partial 16S ribosomal RNA
Rfam family: Bacterial small subunit ribosomal RNA
Source: RNAcentral